Molecule: long non-coding RNA, 1643 nt
Organism: Dreissena polymorpha
Lineage: Eukaryota; Metazoa; Mollusca; Bivalvia; Myida; Dreissenidae
Exons: 3
Source: RefSeq, a predicted model, not a curated record
AGAUGGCGGAGCGAUUUGCAUGGUUAUUGUUUCUACUCGAUGCAUUCGCAGAUAAUUCGGAAAUAGAUCAGAUUGGGAUCAAUAACUUUAUUGCAUACGAUUAUUUACAUGUAUUACCAGGUGUGUUUUGCCCAUAAUGGUUGAAGAUAUGCCAAACAAAUUGUGCCACUCUAUACAGACAGAUAACAGGUCUCAAUUUCGACUUCAAAGGUCAACAUAUCAGUGAUAUCAGAUGACCGAGGCUGCGAUGGCCUAUUGUGGGCUAGAUCAUAUGGCUUUUAUCUCUUAGUACAUGAAAUAAAAUUCUCAACAAUGGCAUGUAGCACCAACAUGUUUAGCGAAACAAACAAUUGGAUGGAAGCGACCAUAGCACUUACUAUUACAAAGGAAGGACUUUAUAGAAACGGAGAUGCGGAAGGUCCAUGCAGCAGUCUGCAGAAGUUGUGGAAAGUGUGCUAUAGCAAACCUUACGCCAUGUCCAACUCAAAACCUUUUUAAAAAGAAAAAUAAGAAAUCUUUGCACAUUACACAAAUCCAAUCAACGUCAUCAAUGCCAAAUAUGUGACUGAGUCAAGCAAAAUAUUAUAGCAAGCCACCGAUAUAAAGUCCCUUCAUGGAAAAAACACUUCAGCGGAAUUAUGGAUUACCGACUGAUGGGAAAUUGCAAAAUGUUUUCUGCCACCAGACGGAUAUAGCGGCAUUUCCUCCGUUCAGAAAUCCGACUUUAAUGGCGUGAUAAGUAUCAUGCUGAAAUUCAUUCAUUACGAUAACCACAUAGAAAGUAAGACGAAUGAUAGCAUGUAUGUAAUAUAUGAGAGAACACAACAGUUUAACAAGUUACUAGAAGAUACGUCACACACAGCCGAAUAUUAGAGCAGACAGAACAUACUUUCUCGCGCGUUGAAAAGACCACAAGUGAUGGCGACAAGAUAGAAGAUCACACACGAAUUGGCAUUGGACACAUUCAACAAGCCGGGAAUGAACAGGCAAAACAAGCUUACGACCUAGCCGUAGAAGGUUUGUUUCUGUUGACUGAAUAGUUUGCCACCUAAGAUAAUGUUUGCAAUUACAAAAUAACAUAUUGCAGGGAUUUUUAAUAACAAAAAUUAAGCAUGGAAUUGUACAGCGUUUUUUAAAGGCUGAAGGUAUACUCCGAAACCUAUAUUAUUUGACGCACACUAAUGUUCGCGGAUUUUUGUCAGUCCUCUCAACCACGAAAUCGUAUGUUUAUGUAACUGUUAAGCCUUAAGUUCUUUAUACCUGAUUAUCAAAAAAUCCCCAUAAUUGUAUGUCAAAAAUGUAUCCAAUAUGAAGAGUUGUGUAUCCAAUAUUUAUGUCAGCCAGUGCAAACGUCACAUGAACUCUACGAUAUUGUUUCUCCAAAUGUGUCCUAAAAGCAUACUCUAUCACAAUAUUGUGCAUAUUCUUUAUAGUUCAUUAUUUUCACAAGCAGCUGGUUUACGAAAGCGUUUUGCUACGAGCCUAUCAAAUGCCUGCCGCACUCUCAUAGUGAAGACAUGAUACCUAUAACCAUGUCUCAAAUAUAUUAACCGGUUUUACAAACAUUUCCCGAGGUCACAUUUCAGAAUCCGUUUCAUAGAAUCAUGUACCCUCGUUCCUCGUAUCAUUUGGCAUAUUGUAAU